GUGGGGAAUAUUGCACAAUGGGCGAAAGCCUGAUGCAGCGACGCCGCGUGAGCGAUGAAGUAUUUCGGUAUGUAAAGCUCUAUCAGCAGGGAAGAUAAUGACGGUACCUGACUAAGAAGCACCGGCUAAAUACGUGCCAGCAGCCGCGGUAAUACGUAUGGUGCAAGCGUUAUCCGGAUUUACUGGGUGUAAAGGGAGUGUAGGCGGUGACUUAAGUCUGAUGUGAAAACCCAAGGCUCAACCAUGGGAUUGCAUUGGAAACUGAGUGACUAGAGUGUCGGAGAGGUAAGUGGAAUUCCUAGUGUAGCGGUGAAAUGCGUAGAUAUUAGGAGGAACACCAGUGGCGAAGGCGGCUUACUGGACGAUUACUGACGCUGAGGCUCGAAAGCGUGGGGAGCAAACAGG
This 405-nucleotide ribosomal RNA is filed under the name uncultured rumen bacterium. RNAcentral describes it as "bacterial SSU rRNA". It matches the Rfam family "Bacterial small subunit ribosomal RNA", at positions 354 to 776 of the family's 1533-position model. The record is from RNAcentral.